GGGCCCGCACAAGCGGUGGAGCAUGUGGUUUAAUUCGAUGCAACGCGAAGAACCUUACCUACACUUGACAUGCUGAGAAGUUACUAGAGAUAGUUUCGUGCCUUCGGGAACUCAGACACAGGUGCUGCAUGGCUGUCGUCAGCUCGUGUCGUGAGAUGUUGGGUUAAGUCCCGCAACGAGCGCAACCCUUGUCCUUAGUUGCCAGCCUUAAGUUGGGCACUCUAAGGAGACUGCCGGUGACAAACCGGAGGAAGUGGGGACGACGUCAGUCAUCAUGGCCCUUACGUGUAGGGCUACACACGUGCUACAAUGGCAUUUACAGAGGGAAGCGAGACAGUGAUGUGAGCGGA
RNAcentral lists this ribosomal RNA (350 nucleotides) under uncultured bacterium. Its description in RNAcentral is "bacterial SSU rRNA". It matches the Rfam family "Bacterial small subunit ribosomal RNA", at positions 917 to 1271 of the family's 1533-position model. The record is from RNAcentral.